UGCGGCAGCCCUCUGUGUUGGCUGGAAAGC
RNAcentral lists this non-coding RNA (30 nucleotides) under Homo sapiens (human). Lineage: Eukaryota; Metazoa; Chordata; Mammalia; Primates; Hominidae. The record is from RNAcentral.